This is a long non-coding RNA of Rhipicephalus microplus (southern cattle tick), 758 nucleotides long. The record is from RefSeq and is a predicted model, not a curated record. Lineage: Eukaryota; Metazoa; Arthropoda; Arachnida; Ixodida; Ixodidae.
AUUACACAGCUAAGUCGACAGAAAUUUUGGUGUCAGCUCUGUUUCCUACUGUAAGAUAUAAAAGUUUUCUGAGAGUCUCUACUUAGAGCAUUCGGGAAUGUGCUUGCCUGUAAUGUCGUAACAUGCUUGAGCAGCCAAAGCGGUCAUGCGGGCUAGUUAUGAGUCACUUGUGUUCAUAUUCACAGAACGAAAAAAAGCAGAUGCAGACAUAAGUUGUACCUCCAUCGGCACCGCGCUCCCCUGGCCACAGCUGUUGGAGCGGUGCCAAGGAGCAAGUAGGCCCUCUGGUAGUUGUAGAAGGUAUGAUCCGUGAUGGUCUGGACACCAAUGGACUUGAGGCAUCGGAUGGUGGCAGCCACUUCGCAGCCCGAGUAGAGCAUGCCAGAAGGAAGUUGCCGGCUCCAGUUCCACUACCCUGAACAAGUGGCUGGCUUCUCCAGUGGAGCUUGUGCUGUUGCUCGCACUCCCCCUCUACAACGACUAGAGUUCCCAUGACGCUGAAGUUCAGGUUGCCAACUGCUUGGCCACAUACGGAGCAGUUAGCAAGCAGUUCACGAAGGGAGCUCUCAAACACACUGAACUUUCGUUCCUUGUGAAGAGGCUCUUCCACUGUUAGAACUCCAGUGCUGUUGUCUUGAUCGGUACUGUAAAUGAAUGACCCCACAAAACAUGUUAGUGCUUGUGUGUUACUCGGUAUUGCACAAUGGACAAGUCAGAUGACUUGGUUGAAAGAAAGAAGUAAAAUUUUUAAGGCUUCA